GGACUUGUUAGCUAGCUACAGGGUUAGAGUCACCUUAGCAGUUGUUUUAUCAAACAGCUCAGCUAGCCUCACUAGCUAGCUAAUGAGAUUAACAAACAGAUUAACAAACGGCUCAGCCACAAAGCGGUAGGCCACACAAGCUCACAGAACAGGACCGCCAAGUGCUGAAGCGCAUAGCGCGUAAAUAUCAUCUGUCCUCAAUUGCAACACUUACUAUCGAGUUCCAACUGCCUCUGGAAGCAACGUCAGCAAAAUAACUGUUUUUGUCGGGAGCUUCAUGAAAUGGGUUUUCAUGGACGAGCAACAGCACACAAGCCUGAAAUCACCAUGCGCAAUGCCAAACGUCGGCUGGCUUGGUGUAAAACGCACCGCCCUUGGACUCUGGAGCAGUGGAAGCGUGCUCUCUGGAAUGAUGAAUCACGCUUCACCAUCUAGCAGUCCGAUGGUGGAAUCUGGGUUUGGCGGAUAACAGAGGAAUGCUACCUGAACAAAUGCAGCGCUAACUGUAAAGUUUGGUGAAGGAAUACUGGUCUGGGUCUGUUUUUCCAUGGUUUGGGCUAGACAAUGACAUUCUAGACGAUUCUGUUCUUCCAUAAUCUAAAGGUUCACGACCUCAGUCACUUAAGAUGACCUUAGGAGAACCGUGGGUGUUGAAGAUGUCCAACAUCGCCUUGGAGGUGGCCUCGCCUGUGUUGUCCUUGAUGGGUAUCACACAAAAGAAAAUCUAUUUUUGGUUCCAAGCACCCUUUUUAAAUGGGUUACAGAAGGGAGUUAAGCACGUUCUCUUCCUUUACAGACCUUAAUGUGUAUUGCCUCCAUCCACAGACACCGGCUGUUGCCAUUCCUGGAUUUCGUGAAGGGUCCAAAUGAGGUCCACCUCUAACAUAUAAAGUGUUAGAGAGAAGAUGACUUAAUUCUUACCCGUAUCUGUGUCAUUCAGUAUGCAGAUUUUCAUAUUUGUAAGGAUAAUGACACACAACCUAUAAUAUUGAACUCUGCA
Molecule: long non-coding RNA, 1000 nt
Filed under: Salmo salar (Atlantic salmon)
Lineage: Eukaryota; Metazoa; Chordata; Actinopteri; Salmoniformes; Salmonidae
Description: lncRNA (ENSSSAG00000105639.1)
Source: RNAcentral